This 253-nucleotide ribosomal RNA is filed under the name uncultured bacterium. Its description in RNAcentral is "partial 16S ribosomal RNA". It matches the Rfam family "Bacterial small subunit ribosomal RNA", at positions 524 to 776 of the family's 1533-position model. The record is from RNAcentral.
GACGUAGGGGGCGAGCGUUGUCCGGAUUUAUUGGGCGUAAAGCGUGCGUAGGCGGCUGCGCAAGUCGGUUGUGAAACCCCGGGGCUCAACCCCGGAACUGCAUCCGAUACUGCGUGGCUAGAGGUAGGUAGGGGAGAUCGGAAUUCCUGGUGUAGCGGUGAAAUGCGCAGAUAUCAGGAGGAACGCCGGUGGCGAAGGCGGAUCUCUGGGCCUUACCUGACGCUGAGGCACGAAAGCUAGGGGAGCGAACAGG